Molecule: long non-coding RNA, 1565 nt
Filed under: Homo sapiens (human)
Lineage: Eukaryota; Metazoa; Chordata; Mammalia; Primates; Hominidae
Description: HSALNT0115774
Source: RNAcentral
CUCGAUUAAAAGUGCACCUGUAUAGCAUCUAAAGAUCAGAGAUGCCAAAUAUUAACACCUUUGUUAAUUUGUAGGAAACUUAAACCUAGGUUUUAAGCAAUUCAACUCUAGGUGCUCAUAUAACUAUUAACUAUUGUUGUUACUCAUAAGUGCUUAGUGAGCCUGCUUCCUCUGCCCUAAAGUUCCCUAUGACCAUGGGAGGUGGGAAGGUGGGGCAUGGGAGGUUUAUCUGUGAUAAUACAUGUGUGCAUGUACAGAACUACCUUUUUGGUGUUUUUCAAAGAAUAAGGAAUCAAUUUUGCUCGAACCUAGCUCCCAAAACUCACUGUAGAAGAGAAAUAACUGUCUCAUGGAGAUUGCAUUGCAGUUUUCCAAGGAUGAAAGAUACUAACCACAGUUAAAUCUCAACUCCAUUAUGAAGUGAAUACCUUUUGCCACUCCUUUCAGAAGAAAAUGGAAGCAGUGAGAGGUUGAAAUGAUUUCUGGAUUCCAUAGACAAAAACCAAUCCUGAAACAGAAUCCAAGAUUUCUGGGUCACAUUAAUGAAUAGACCUGGUUUAUUCCCAGCUUCUCACUCUGGUGUGUCGUAAAGAUUUGCCUGUAAUGAGCUCUGAGCUACUUAUACUUAGUCAUCUCCCAUGAAAACAAGUAUUACAUACAGAUGGGCCACCCCUGCCCCUCAUCAGGCUUCACAAAGGAGCCAGUCUGUGUGGAUUUGUUUCCCUACACUUCCUAGAAACAGCUGCUCUAUGUGCUGAAGAAUAAGAAGCCAUCCAUUGGAAGUGCUGGCUCAUUUCUUGAACCCAUUUCAGAGUUCCUGUCUGAGCGAUCGCUUCAAGUAAAGAAGGCGCCCCAGAUAAAAAGGCAGGCAGUCCAGACACCACAGCAUGUGCAUGCCACACGCAUGCGCCCCCCCAACCCCUAUGAUGAGAAGACACACCCUCGAGUGAUGAACUUCUUUCUGUGCUGGAGCCCAUGGGGUCCUCUGAGUCCCACUUCCUGCCUUCCUCAGGUGCUGGUAUAAGCCAAGCUGAGCUCGUGGGAGGAUGGCAAGAGAAUAGGCCCAACAGUCUUUGUGGGAGACAGAGCCCACGUUUCUCCACAAACAGCUUCCGGGAAGAGUGGACGGGUCAGACUAGACCAAACCAGCCUCUUGAGAACACCACACUGCCCAGACCCACUUAGUGCCUCCGUGUAACCCGCUGGUUAGAGUCCACCUGCUAGGCAGCCAGAAGCGGCAAAAGCCCAGCCCCACUGUCCCAUUCUUGACCUGGUCCUCCAUGCUCACUGUGACAGCAGCACAGGCACCCCGACCGGGCCACAGCGAGCUGGUGGCCAUGUCCCUGGCUCUGCUAACUUGGCCUAUCUCAUUUCUUAACCUGUUUUUCAUGAUGUGGACCUCUUGAGAGUAUACUUGAAAAAAGUGAAUUAUCUAUGUGGAUAAAGGACUGGUACACUAUGUUGAAAACGUAACAAACCAACCAGAUGGGAAAGCAUCUGUGCUAUGGGACUUUUUUGUUUGCUUGUUUUGUUUAAUAGGCAUAUUUUAUUUAAAUAAAUCUUCC